GACGAACGCUGGCGGCGUGCUUAACACAUGCAAGUCGAACGGAAAGGCCCUGCUUUUGUGGGGUGCUCGAGUGGCGAACGGGUGAGUAACACGUGAGUAACCUGCCCUUGACUUUGGGAUAACUUCAGGAAACUGGGGCUAAUACCGGAUAGGAGCUCCUGCUGCAUGGUGGGGGUUGGAAAGUUUCGGCGGUUGGGGAUGGACUCGCGGCUUAUCAGCUUGUUGGUGGGGUAGUGGCUUACCAAGGCUUUGACGGGUAGCCGGCCUGAGAGGGUGACCGGCCACGUUGGGACUGAGAUACGGCCCAGACUCCUACGGGAGGCAGCAGUGGGGAAUAUUGCACAAUGGGCGGAAGCCUGAUGCAGCAACGCCGCGUGCGGGAUGACGGCCUUCGGGUUGUAAACCGCUUUCGCCUGUGACAAAGCGUGAGUGACGGUAAUGGGUAAAGAAGCACCGGCUAACUACGUG
Molecule: ribosomal RNA, 468 nt
Filed under: uncultured bacterium
Lineage: Bacteria
Description: partial 16S ribosomal RNA
Rfam family: Bacterial small subunit ribosomal RNA
Source: RNAcentral